This is a long non-coding RNA of Carassius gibelio (silver crucian carp), 333 nucleotides long. RefSeq lists it as uncharacterized. The transcript is spliced from 3 exons. NCBI's taxonomy places the organism in Eukaryota, Metazoa, Chordata, Actinopteri, Cypriniformes, Cyprinidae. The record is from RefSeq and is a predicted model, not a curated record.
GCUGCUGCUCGUUAUAACUGACUGCUCUAUCGGUCCCGAAUUAUUUCAUAUUUGCCUGUACAUUUUUUAUUUAUUUUGAGCGAAUUUGAGUCGUGACAUGUCAAUGGAGAACAAAUACUGUGAUCACAAGAAGGGUCAGGUGUUCUGCGAGGUCCUGAAAACAUCCUGGCAAAAUGAGAGUCAUUGAGGAUCCAGCUUGUUCUUGAAACAUUGAAGUUUGCCCUCUGCAAGUGAACGACUCCUUGUGGUGCCAUCCCAAAGAAGUUCACAAUCACUCUCUCGGACCUUUUCCUGGACUGUGCCCAGCUGGUGGAAUCACCUCCCAAUCUCAAU